This 254-nucleotide ribosomal RNA is filed under the name uncultured bacterium. RNAcentral's name for it is "partial 16S ribosomal RNA". It matches the Rfam family "Bacterial small subunit ribosomal RNA", at positions 524 to 776 of the family's 1533-position model. The record is from RNAcentral.
UACGAAGGGGGCUAGCGUUGCUCGGAAUGACUGGGCGUAAAGGGCGCGUAGGCGGAUGACACAGUCAGAUGUGAAAUUCCCGGGCUUAACCUGGGGGCUGCAUUUGAUACGUGUUGUCUAGAGUGAGGAAGAGGGUUGUGGAAUUCCCAGUGUAGAGGUGAAAUUCGUAGAUAUUGGGAAGAACACCGGUGGCGAAGGCGGCGAUCUGGGUCGAUACUGACGCUGAGGUGCGAAAGCGUGGGGGAGCAAACAGG